UACGGAGGGGGCUAGCGUUGUUCGGAAUUACUGGGCGUAAAGCGCACGUAGGCGGCUUUGUAAGUUAGAGGUGAAAGCCUGGAGCUACAACGUCCAGAAUUGCCUUUAAGACUGCAUCGCGUUGAAUCGCGGAGAGGUGAGUGGAAUUCCGAGUGUAGAGGUGAAAUUCGUAGAUAUUCGGAAGAACACCAGUGGCGAAGGCGGCUCACUGGACGCGUAUUGACGCUGAGGUGGCGAAAGCGUGGGGAGCAACAGG
RNAcentral lists this ribosomal RNA (256 nucleotides) under uncultured bacterium. Its description in RNAcentral is "partial 16S ribosomal RNA". It matches the Rfam family "Bacterial small subunit ribosomal RNA", at positions 524 to 775 of the family's 1533-position model. The record is from RNAcentral.